This 292-nucleotide long non-coding RNA is filed under the name Manihot esculenta (cassava). Its description in RNAcentral is "long non-coding RNA (MESC_LNC010858)". Lineage: Eukaryota; Viridiplantae; Streptophyta; Magnoliopsida; Malpighiales; Euphorbiaceae. The record is from RNAcentral.
CCACAUUAACGAAAGGUCUCCUCCCAAUCCUUGUCUAUUGACUGAGAAGCAAUCAUCAAAAUGUAAAAAAUUACGAAAAAAUUACAUACGAGAACUAAGAGCUUUUGUUUCCAUCAAAAAUAAAAUAUCCACCUUGUAACUAGUAACCAAAUUUUUCAAUGCAUUAACUGUCCGAGGAUUGCCGAGUCCUUGGCAGUUCCAACACAUGACGAUAAUUGCUUUCGACUAUCCUGACCUUUGAUGGAAUGAGCCACUUCGAUAAUCAAUUGACGCAGAUCGUCUUCCAUGGGGG